CAGUCGCCACGGGAAUACGGAGGGGGCUAGCGUUGUUCGAAAUUACUGGGCGUAAAGCGCACGUAGGCGGCUUGGUAAGUUAGAGGUGAAAGCCCGGAGCUCAACUCCGGAAUUGCCUUUAAGACUGCCGAGCUAGUAGGUGAGAGAGGUAAGUGGAAUUCCGAGUGUAGAGGUGAAAUUCGUAGAUAUUCGGAAGAACACCAGUGGCGAAGGCGGCUUACUGGCUCAUUCUAGACGCUGAGGUGCGAAAGCGUGGGGAGCAAACAGGAUUAGAUACCCCAGUAGUCCCUGUCUCUUAUAC
Molecule: ribosomal RNA, 301 nt
Filed under: uncultured bacterium
Lineage: Bacteria
Description: partial 16S ribosomal RNA
Rfam family: Bacterial small subunit ribosomal RNA
Source: RNAcentral